UCGAGAAUCUUCCACAAUGGACGAAAGUCUGAUGGAGCGACGCCGCGUGAUUGAUGAAGUCCCUCUGGGACGUAAAGAUCUUUUAUGAGGGAAGAAGUUUAUUGACGGUACCUCAUGAAUAAGGGGCUCCUAAUCUCGUGCCAGCAGGAGCGGUAAUACGAGAGCCCCGAGCGUUAUCCGGAAUUACUGGGCGUAAAGGGUGAGUAGGUGGCGUUAUUAGUCGAGUGUUAAAUAUCUGUGCUUAACAUGGAUGCUGCAUUCGAAACGGUAAUGCUAGAGGGUGUGAGAGGUCUGUGGAACUCAUGGUGUAGGGGUGAAAUCCGUUGAUAUCAUGGGGAACACCAAAAGCGAAGGCAACAGACUGGCACAUUCCUGACACUGAAUCACGAAAGCGUAGGUA
Molecule: ribosomal RNA, 400 nt
Filed under: uncultured bacterium
Lineage: Bacteria
Description: bacterial SSU rRNA
Rfam family: Bacterial small subunit ribosomal RNA
Source: RNAcentral